Molecule: ribosomal RNA, 253 nt
Filed under: uncultured bacterium
Lineage: Bacteria
Description: partial 16S ribosomal RNA
Rfam family: Bacterial small subunit ribosomal RNA
Source: RNAcentral
UACGAAGGGGGCUAGCGUUGUUCGGAAUUACUGGGCGUAAAGCGCGCGCAGGCGGUCUUCCAAGUCCGAGGUGAAAGCCCAGGGCUCAACCUUGGAACUGCCUUUGAAACUAGGUAGCUAGAAUUCUGGAGAGGUCAGUGGAAUUCCGAGUGUAGAGGUGAAAUUCGUAGAUAUUCGGAAGAACACCAGUGGCGAAGGCGACUGACUGGACAGAUAUUGACGCUGAGGUGCGAAAGCGUGGGGAGCAAACAGG